GCGGGUGGCGUCGUGCUUACCAUGCGAGUCGAACGGAAAGGCUCUAGCUUGCUGGGGGUACUCGAGUGGCGAACGGGUGAGUAACACGUGGGUGAUCUGCCCUGCACUUCGGGAUAAGCUUGGGAAACUGGGUCUAAUACCGGAUAUGAACGGUCUUUGGUGUGAUUGUUGGAAAGAUUUUUUCGGUGUGGGAUGAGCUCGCGGCCUAUCAGCUUGUUGGUGGGGUAAUGGCCUACCAAGGCGUCGACGGGUAGCCGGCCUGAGAGGGUGUACGGCCACAUUGGGACUGAGAUACGGCCCAGACUCCUACGGGAGGCAGCAGUGGGGAAUAUUGCACAAUGGGCGCAAGCCUGAUGCAGCGACGCCGCGUGGGGGAUGAAGGCCUUCGGGUUGUAAACUCCUUUCGCUAGGGACGAAGCCUUUUUUAAGGUGACGGUACCUGGAUAAGAAGCACCGGCUAACUACGUGCCAGCAGCCGCGGUAAUACGUAGGGUGCAAGCGUUGUCCGGAAUUACUGGGCGUAAAGAGCUCGUAGGUGGUUUGUCGCGUCGUCUGUGAAAUUCCGGGGCUUAACUCCGGGCGUGCAGGCGAUACGGGCAUAACUUGAGUGCUGUAGGGGAGACUGGAAUUCCUGGUGUAGCGGUGAAAUGCGCAGAUAUCAGGAGGAACACCGAUGGCGAAGGCAGGUCUCUGGGCAGUAACUGACGCUGAGGAGCGAAAGCAUGGGUAGCGAACAGGAUUAGAUACCCUGGUAGUCCAUGCCGUAAACGGUGGGCGCUAGGUGUAGGGGGCUUCCACGU
RNAcentral lists this ribosomal RNA (800 nucleotides) under Corynebacterium sp. W8B-77. RNAcentral's name for it is "bacterial SSU rRNA". It matches the Rfam family "Bacterial small subunit ribosomal RNA", at positions 35 to 837 of the family's 1533-position model. The record is from RNAcentral. Lineage: Bacteria; Bacillati; Actinomycetota; Actinomycetes; Mycobacteriales; Corynebacteriaceae.